RNAcentral lists this ribosomal RNA (492 nucleotides) under uncultured bacterium. RNAcentral's name for it is "partial 16S ribosomal RNA". It matches the Rfam family "Bacterial small subunit ribosomal RNA", at positions 29 to 507 of the family's 1533-position model. The record is from RNAcentral.
AGUGAACGCUGGCGGUAUGCCUAACACAUGCAAGUCGAGCGGCAGCACAGUAAGAUCUUGCUCUUACGGGUGGCGAGUGGCGGACGGGUGAGGAAUACAUCGGAAUCUACUUUUUCGUGGGGGAUAACGUAGGGACACUUACGCUACUACCGCAUACGACCUACGGGUGAAAUCAGGGGAUCUUCGCACCUUUCGCGUUUCAAUUAGCCGAUGUCGCAUUAGCUAGUUGGCUGGGUAAGGGCCCACCAAGGCGACGAUCCGUAGCUGGUCUGAGAGGAUGAUCAGCCACACUGGAACUGAGACACGGUCCAGACUCCUACGGGAGGCAGCAGUGGGGAAUAUUGGACAAUGGGCGAAAGCCUGAUCCAGCAAUACCGCGUGGGUGAAGAAGGCCUUCGGGUUGUAAAGCCCUUUUGUUGGGAAAGAAAAGCAGCAGGUUAAUACCCCGCUGUUCUGACGGUACCCAAAGAAUAAGCACCGGCUAACCUCGUG